GCCGUGGCUGUAUGUCAGAAACACAGACCUAGGUGCCGUGGCUGUAUGUCAGAAACACAGACCUAGGUGCCGUGGCUGUAUGUCAGAAAUACAGCCUGGUGUGCCGUAUGUCAGAAACACAGACCUAGGUGCCGUGGCUGUACGUCAGAAAUGCAGACCUGAGUGCCGUUGGUCUCUGUGCCCGUAGUAGAAGGGAGGCCUCCUUCGCUAGCGAGUGAAAACUGUGCCUAAUACUCAGCAAGGAGAUCCAUCGUUUUUGGUGCUGUUGGUUAUUAUUACUGUAUAACAAUACAAAAGAAAGGUGAGGUGCUGGCUAACUACUACUCUCCUCUCCCACAGGGAUGAGGUUCAAGGUUUUCAUGUCCCACAGGGUUAGGGUUCUAGGCUCUCUUCUCCCACAGGGUUAGGUUAGGGUUCUAGGCUCUCUUCUCCCACAGGGUUAGGUUAGGGUUCUAGGCUCUCUUCUCCCACAGGGUUAGGUUAGGGUUCUAGGCUCUCUUCUCCCACAGGGUUAGGUUAGGGUUCUAAGCUCUCUUCUCCCACAGGGUGAGGUUAGGGUUCUAGGCUCUCUUCUCCCACAGGGUGAGGUUAGGGUUCUAGGCUCUCCACUCCCACAGGGUUAGGGUUCUAGGCUCUCCACUCCCACAGGGUUAGGUUAGGGUUCUAGGCUCUUCUCUCCCACAGGGUUAGGGUUCUAGGCUCUCUUCUCCCACAGGGUUAGGUUAGGGUUCUAGGCUCUCUUCUCCCACAGGGUUAGGUUAGGGUUCUAGGCUCUCCUCUCCCACAGGGUUAGGGUUCUAGGCUCUCCUCUCCCACAGGGUUAGGUUAGGGUUCUAGGCUCUCCUUUUCUAGAUGUGCAAUCAUGUUAACAUUCCAUUCUUCCAGUCCUAUUGUUUCAGCUGUACCAGUAAACAUGACUUAUUUUAUUAUUAUUUUAUAUUUUUAUUGUGUAUGCGUUCUGAUGUGCGUGUAGAACCACUAGUCAAAGGGUGUAAAAUGUGAAAUAUGGAAAUCCAUGUUGUUUUUUUUGCUUUUGCAUUUUCCCUUUUUCAGAUGUAUUAUGUUUGAUUUUAGGAGACAGUCCAACACAAAAACAAACUUUUGUACAUAAUCCUGUAAAUGUCUUUAAAUACUUGAGCCUUUUCUGGGGUGAAGGAAGGAAUGAUGCCUCUAAAGGUUUUAGCGGAAGCAAGGGAGGAAGUGCUUGAUGAAGAAAAAGCCUUACGUUUCAGUUUCUUCAUGUGUGUGAGUUUGAUGCUUACAGGGUUGCUCUGGUUACGUGUAUACAUCUAAGUGCUGCUUACAUCAGUGAGAAAGAUAUGGAGUAGCAAUGGCCCCCUAUUUUAUUUUUAUUUUUUAGCUUUACUUUUUUAAAGAAAAGGGAAAAUAUGUUAAUAAAAAAAAUUGUUUUAAAUUUUCAUUACUGAAAAUUCAACAAUGUAGUAGCUCAUGUUGCACUGAGCUUGCCAGUGGUGGCUGACAAGGUGAUCCUAUUAUCAAGUUUGUUGGUUGUUGUCCUUUACAGAAGACUGAAUUGUUUUAGGAGUAUUUAAUGAAAACCAAGUUGGGUGUUUUCCACAGAAAGUGGUUGUCAAGUUUUUAUGGCCUUACAAUGUAUUUUAUUCAGAAUUUUUUUUUUUUUGCAUUUUCUUUUUCUACAGUAUAAACUAUUGCUCACGGUCGGUCUGGCAAGUUAAUUUAUUAGCGAUGCGUCUCCAACUUUCCUUCCACUUGGAAAGAUUUCAUGUUGGUUAUAUUGCCAGUUUUUUUUUUUUUACAUUUGCAGUUUGUACUAAAGGUUUAAUAAAAACGUACAGACAAUUCACCGUCUUUUCUUUUGUACGUGUAUGUCCGUCUU
Molecule: long non-coding RNA, 1858 nt
Organism: Oncorhynchus tshawytscha (Chinook salmon)
Lineage: Eukaryota; Metazoa; Chordata; Actinopteri; Salmoniformes; Salmonidae
Source: Ensembl